This 189-nucleotide unclassified non-coding RNA is filed under the name uncultured fungus. Its description in RNAcentral is "sequence contains ITS1". Lineage: Eukaryota; Fungi. The record is from RNAcentral.
UUAACUAUUAUAUAGUACUCAGACGACACUAAUACAGAGUUUGGGGUCUCUGGCGAGCACGCGUCAGCCGAGGCCGACGGCCUAGGGCGGCUCGCCAAAGCAACAUUCGUUGGUAUAACAAAGGGUGGGAGGUCUACCCCGAAGGGCAUGAUCUCUGUAAUGAUCCUUCCGCAGGUUCACCUACGGAAA